GGACUAAAUAGCUCAGUUGGUUAGAGCAUGGUCGCUAGAAUUGCUAAGGUCCUAGGGUCAAUCCUCAGUUGGUUCA
This is a non-coding RNA of Stygiomarasmius scandens, 76 nucleotides long. The record is from the annotation of a GenBank genome assembly. NCBI's taxonomy places the organism in Eukaryota, Fungi, Basidiomycota, Agaricomycetes, Agaricales, Campanellaceae.